UGAUAAGCAUGCCACAGGUGAUGAUGGAAAGUUUCUGCACCCCAUAACCCUCUCAGCAUAUACAGCCAUCCAAAUCAGAGCAAUCAAACCAAAUCAGAAAACAAAAACAGUUUUAAUGAACAAAAUGCUCCCAGAUGAUUUCCAGCGCCCUUACCCCCACCCUGGGUAGACUGAAAAGAGAGACUGGAAAACCACAGGUCUGUUUGGGGGGGGGACAGUUAAAUACCCUGUGGAAGUUGUCUUGUGUAUCUCUGGGGGAGAGGUCAUCAUUUGGCAGGCUUCCUGAAGGCAGCAGGAUUUGGAGAGAUACAAGCAGCUUGGGGUCGAGCUUCCACCAGAACUUUCCAGAUUCUUUGGGCAUAUGAAUGCCAGUGUCUAGGGUGAAGCUUCCACCAGAACAGUGUUAUGCCUUCAUGCCUGAAGAGUGCACCAAAUCUCAAAAUUGUUGACUGAUAGUCACCCUGUGGUUGAUGGAAACUGAACUCCUGAAGAGCAGCUACUUUUCUUAACCUCUGAGCCAUCUCUCCAGCCACACUAGUGCCGGCCUCUGGGUUCCGGUAGAUGCUGUCCUUCAUGGUCCCCACCAGGGGACCCCGAGGGGCCCGGGACAUCCAGAUCUCGUCCCAGGAGAGGAGACGGGCCACACCGGACCAUGCCCUGGGGACAAGGACACAUCAAAAGAAGGAACAAUCCCUGCCAACCGCCCGGUUGCCAACCAGGAAAACUCAUCUUCAGAAGGCAAAGAACACUGCAUGGGUUGAUACUUAAGAAGAGAAGGUAGUUUAUAACCAUCAAACAAAAGGAACAUGCCAUACGUGUGGGUACCUCACAAGCAAACAUUUCUCUGCUGUUUAUGUUUGAGUCCCACACAACCAAUGAAGACCUGCCUGACAGCAAUCCCUGGACACCCUGGAAAGAAAAUGGGCCACACCUCCUCGACUGCACUGGAUCCAACUUGCUCCAUUUCAACUGACAUUCCUGCCGGAGAUUCGGGUACUGACUUCAAUCAAGUUGAGGAUUUCAAGCGAGAUCUUCAAUCAAGCAAAUCCCAUCUAACAUGGACUGGAUACAAUUUAUUCAAGGCUUUUACUAUACUAACAUUUUCUUCCUAUAGGACCCUACAAGGAUGUCAUGGUCCCAUUUCAGCAGGAAGUAACUUGGAGGAUGCUAAGCCCCCCUUUCUCCCAAUGUUGUCACUUAGGAUAGUGUAUAUACCUAGUUAGGGAUAGCUUCCUAUUGUUUAUGGUUGGGAUUAGAAGGAGGUGUUCAGGCUUGGACACCUCUUUCAGAUGACUUUAGGGUUUAGUUAAAAUAGUUAGGAUGUGACAUAAGCAGAUUGUUGUAUCUUCUUAUAUUUCACCUUUAUGAUUGUUAAUUUUGGAUACUUUGCCCUGUUAAGUAUCAAUCCUCUUUUAGACUGAAAGGGGAAUUGUAGUGGAACCUGUAGCCAUGCCUGCUUAGGACCUGGCUAAAGGUGUCCCUGACCACUCCUGCCAGGGUGUGAUCAGGGUGACAUAGAUUGAGAGGUUCAGGUGGCUGGGUUUCACUUUCGGUUUCACCUUUUGGUUUGCUGUACAGAGUGCUGCUAUGCCUCCUGGGUAGGUCACUCUGUAAGGCUUUUUCCUAUUAAAUACCCUUGUAUUUCUACCUGGCUCUUUAUUGGUAAUUUCCC
RNAcentral lists this long non-coding RNA (1672 nucleotides) under Cricetulus griseus (Chinese hamster). RNAcentral describes it as "lncRNA (ENSCGRG00015038167.1)". Lineage: Eukaryota; Metazoa; Chordata; Mammalia; Rodentia; Cricetidae. The record is from RNAcentral.